GGCGAACGGGUGAGUAACACGUGGGUGAUCUGCCCUGCACUUCGGGAUAAGCCUGGGAAGCUGGGUCUAAUACCGGAUAGGAGCCAUUUUUAGUGUGAUGGUUGGAAAGUUUUUUCGGUGUAGGAUGAGCUCGCGGCCUAUCAGCUUGUUGGUGGGGUAAUGGCCUACCAAGGCGGCGACGGGUAGCCGGCCUGAGAGGGUGGACGGCCACAUUGGGACUGAGAUACGGCCCAG
RNAcentral lists this ribosomal RNA (234 nucleotides) under uncultured Actinomycetales bacterium. Its description in RNAcentral is "partial 16S ribosomal RNA". It matches the Rfam family "Bacterial small subunit ribosomal RNA", at positions 97 to 334 of the family's 1533-position model. Lineage: Bacteria; Bacillati; Actinomycetota; Actinomycetes; Actinomycetales. The record is from RNAcentral.